RNAcentral lists this ribosomal RNA (1117 nucleotides) under Salmonella enterica. Its description in RNAcentral is "partial 23S ribosomal RNA". It matches the Rfam family "Bacterial large subunit ribosomal RNA", at positions 582 to 1616 of the family's 2925-position model. Lineage: Bacteria; Pseudomonadati; Pseudomonadota; Gammaproteobacteria; Enterobacterales; Enterobacteriaceae. The record is from RNAcentral. RNAcentral also lists the same sequence under 1 other name.
CCCUUCGGGGUGUGACUGCGUACCUUUUGUAUAAUGGGUCAGCGACUUAUAUUCUGUAGCAAGGUUAACCGUAUAGGGGAGCCGGAGGGAAACCGAGUCUUAACCGGGCGUUAAGUUGCAGGGUAUAGACCCGAAACCCGGUGAUCUAGCCAUGGGCAGGUUGAAGGUUGGGUAACACUAACUGGAGGACCGAACCGACUAAUGUUGAAAAAUUAGCGGAUGACCUGUGGCUGGGGGUGAAAGGCCAAUCAAACCGGGAGAUAGCUGGUUCUCCCCGAAAGCUAUUUAGGUAGCGCCUCGUGAAUUCAUCUCCGGGGGUAGAGCACUGUUUCGGCUAGGGGGCCAUCCCGGCUUACCAACCCGAUGCAAACUGCGAAUACCGGAGAAUGUUAUCACGGGAGACACACGGCGGGUGCUAACGUCCGUCGUGAAGAGGGAAACAACCCAGACCGCCAGCUAAGGUCCCAAAGUCAUGGUUAAGUGGGAAACGAUGUGGGAAGGCCCAGACAGCCAGGAUGUUGGCUUAGAAGCAGCCAUCAUUUAAAGAAAGCGUAAUAGCUCACUGGUCGAGUCGGCCUGCGCGGAAGAUGUAACGGGGCUAAACCAUGCACCGAAGCUGCGGCAGCGAACGUAUCACCCAAGACAACUUUACGGAGUUGACGAUUGACGGAGCGAAGCGACGUCAAAGCGUUCAUUAAAGUCGAGUUGGCUUAGGGAUACGUUCGUUGGGUAGGGGAGCGUUCUGUAAGCCUGUGAAGGUGUGUCGUGAGGCAUGCUGGAGGUAUCAGAAGUGCGAAUGCUGACAUAAGUAACGAUAAAGCGGGUGAAAAGCCCGCUCGCCGGAAGACCAAGGGUUCCUGUCCAACGUUAAUCGGGGCAGGGUGAGUCGACCCCUAAGGCGAGGCCGAAAGGCGUAGUCGAUGGGAAACGGGUUAAUAUUCCCGUACUUGGUGUUACUGCGAAGGGGGGACGGAGAAGGCUAUGUUGGCCGGGCGACGGUUGUCCCGGUUUAAGCGUGUAGGUGUGUGUUCCAGGUAAAUCCGGUUCACUUUAACACUGAGGCGUGACGACGAGGCACUACGGUGCUGAAGCAACAAAUGCCCUGCUUCCAGGAAAA